Molecule: small nucleolar RNA, 84 nt
Organism: Pleuronectes platessa (European plaice)
Lineage: Eukaryota; Metazoa; Chordata; Actinopteri; Pleuronectiformes; Pleuronectidae
Product: small nucleolar RNA SNORA47
Exons: 1
Source: RefSeq, a predicted model, not a curated record
AGGAGGACUGAGAAGGUUGAGCAGCUUCUGUUGUGCUGCUAUAACUGGUUAUAGCCUCCAAGAAUAAUUUACAAACCACAUUUA